Molecule: ribosomal RNA, 496 nt
Filed under: uncultured bacterium
Lineage: Bacteria
Description: partial 16S ribosomal RNA
Rfam family: Bacterial small subunit ribosomal RNA
Source: RNAcentral
GAUGAACGCUGGCGGCGUGCCUAAUACAUGCAAGUCGAGCGAACAGACGAGGAGCUUGCUCCUCUGACGUUAGCGGCGGACGGGUGAGUAACACGUGGAUAACCUACCUAUAAGACUGGGAUAACUUCGGGAAACCGGAGCUAAUACCGGAUAAUAUAUUGAACCGCAUGGUUCAAUAGUGAAAGACGGUUUUGCUGUCACUUAUAGAUGGAUCCGCGCCGCAUUAGCUAGUUGGUAAGGUAACGGCUUACCAAGGCAACGAUGCGUAGCCGACCUGAGAGGGUGAUCGGCCACACUGGAGCUGAGACACGGUCCAGACUCCUACGGGAGGCAGCAGUAGGGAAUCUUCCGAAAUGGGCGAAAGCCUGACGGAGCAACGCCGCGUGAGUGAUGAAGGUCUUCGGAUCGUAAAACUCUGUUAUUAGGGAAGAACAAAUGUGUAAGUAACUAUGCACGUCUGGACGGUACCUAAUCAGAAAGCCACGGCUAACUACGU